GAUUUCUGGUUUGGUAUGCCUGACCCGUCAUGGUUACAUGAUUGUGUGUCGGUGCGUGCCUGCCAUCCUUCUAGAGAACAUGAGACCACCCUUCAUUGGGUUGGAUUCAUGUCGCUCUAGAUCUUUUACUUUGAAAAAAUUAGAGUGUUUAAAGCAGGCAGUGUUUGCUAUGAAUACAUUAGCAUGGAAUAAUAAUUUAGGACUUUGGUCUUAUUUUGUUGGUUUCUAGGACUAAAGUAAUGAUUGAUAGGGAUAGUUGGGGGUGCUAGUAUUCAGCGGCCAGAGGUGAAAUUCUUGGAUUCGCUGAAGACUAACUUAUGCGAAAGCAUU
RNAcentral lists this ribosomal RNA (330 nucleotides) under Kraken sp. RNAcentral describes it as "SSU rRNA". The stretch from base 60 to 330 matches the Rfam family "Eukaryotic small subunit ribosomal RNA", at positions 686 to 955 of the family's 1831-position model. Lineage: Eukaryota; Cercozoa. The record is from RNAcentral.